This 425-nucleotide ribosomal RNA is filed under the name uncultured bacterium. RNAcentral's name for it is "partial 16S ribosomal RNA". It matches the Rfam family "Bacterial small subunit ribosomal RNA", at positions 354 to 796 of the family's 1533-position model. The record is from RNAcentral.
GUGGGGAAUAUUGGGCAAUGGGCGAAAGCCUGACCCAGCAACGCCGCGUGAAGGAAGAAGGUUUUCGGAUCGUAAACUUCUAUCCUUGGUGAAGAUAAUGACGGUAGCCGAGAAGGAAGCCCCGGCUAACUACGUGCCAGCAGCCGCGGUAAUACGUAGGGGGCAAGCGUUGUCCGGAAUGAUUGGGCGUAAAGGGCGCGUAGGCGGCCUGGUAAGUCUGGAGUGAAAGUCCUGCUUUUAAGGUGGGAAUUGCUUUGGAUACUGUCGGGCUUGAGUGCAGGAGAGGUAAGUGGAAUUCCCGGUGUAGCGGUGAAAUGCGUAGAGAUCGGGAGGAACACCAGUGGCGAAGGCGACUUACUGGACUGUAACUGACGCUGAGGCGCGAAAGUGUGGGGAGCAAACAGGAUUAGAUACCCGGGUAGUCC